UGGGGAAUAUUGGACAAUGGGCGGAAGCCUGAUCCAGCAACGCCGCGUGAGGGAUGACGGCCUUCGGGUUGUAAACCUCUUUCAGUACCGACGAAGCGAAAGUGACGGUAGGUACAGAAGAAGGACCGGCCAACUACGUGCCAGCAGCCGCGGUAAUACGUAGGGUCCGAGCGUUGUCCGGAAUUAUUGGGCGUAAAGGGCUCGUAGGCGGUUUGUCGCGUCGGGAGUGAAAACAGCGGGCUUAACUCGUUGCUUGCUUUCGAUACGGGCAGACUAGAGGUAUGCAGGGGAGAAUGGAAUUCCUGGUGUAGCGGUGAAAUGCGCAGAUAUCAGGAGGAACACCGGUGGCGAAGGCGGUUCUCUGGGCAUUACCUGACGCUGAGGAGCGAAAGUGUGGGGAGCGAACAGGAUUAGAUACCCUGGUAGUCCACACCGUAAACGUUGGGCGCUAGGUGUGGGGUCCUUUCCACGGAUUCCGUGCCGUAGCUAACGCAUUAAGCGCCCCGCCUGGGGGAGUACGGCCGCAA
Molecule: ribosomal RNA, 527 nt
Filed under: uncultured bacterium
Lineage: Bacteria
Description: partial 16S ribosomal RNA
Rfam family: Bacterial small subunit ribosomal RNA
Source: RNAcentral